Molecule: non-coding RNA, 589 nt
Organism: Gambusia affinis (western mosquitofish)
Lineage: Eukaryota; Metazoa; Chordata; Actinopteri; Cyprinodontiformes; Poeciliidae
Source: the annotation of a RefSeq genome assembly
AUGGGAAUUCUUCAGUUUGUAUCACUGUGCCACACGUUUGGAGGAGGAACCAGACUGGAAGUUAACGUGGGUCAAGUGCCUCCAUCACUGAUGGUUGUACCCCCCUCCAGUGAGGAGCUGAAGCAGGGGACGGUUACCCUCAUGUGUCUGGCCAACAAGGGCUUCCCCUCAGACUGGACUCUGUCCUGGAAGCUGGAUGGCAGCAGCAGCAGCAGCAGCUGGGAGCAGAGCAGGAGCUCCGGGGUGCUGCAGAAUGACGGCCUCUACAGCUGGAGCAGCACCCUGAGGCUCCCUGCAGACCAGUGGAGGAAGGUGGGCUCUGUGACCUGUGAGGCCUCCCAGGGCUCCCAGUCUGCAGUCACAGAGACACUGAGGAGAGACCAGCAUUCCCAGUCCUGAGCUGACAUGCUAGAAGAUGGGAACUAUUGCUUUUUCACUGCUUUCUGUUCUUUCUAUAUCUUCAAAAGCUUCUUUUCAUUUGAUGCCUUCUUGCUUCUUGUUGCCAUCCUGGUUGAUUUAAAAUCUUAAAGCAAUAAAAUUCAUCAACACAUCAACGUGUUUUGUCUGAGUUAUGUAUUUCAAUGGAGAA